GGUUCUAUAGUGCAGUGGUUAGCACGUCUGCUUUACACGCAGAAGGUCCUGGGUUCGCGCCCCAGUGGAGCCA
Molecule: transfer RNA, 73 nt
Filed under: Pteropus alecto (black flying fox)
Lineage: Eukaryota; Metazoa; Chordata; Mammalia; Chiroptera; Pteropodidae
Rfam family: tRNA
About the family: Transfer RNA (tRNA) molecules are approximately 80 nucleotides in length. Their secondary structure includes four short double-helical elements and three loops (D, anti-codon, and T loops). Further hydrogen bonds mediate the characteristic L-shaped molecular structure. tRNAs have two regions of fundamental functional importance: the anti-codon, which is responsible for specific mRNA codon recognition, and the 3' end, to which the tRNAs corresponding amino acid is attached (by aminoacyl-tRNA synthetases). tRNAs cope with the degeneracy of the genetic code in two manners: having more than one tRNA (with a specific anti-codon) for a particular amino acid; and 'wobble' base-pairing, i.e. permitting non-standard base-pairing at the 3rd anti-codon position.
Source: Rfam by way of RNAcentral